Molecule: non-coding RNA, 100 nt
Organism: Paramuricea clavata
Lineage: Eukaryota; Metazoa; Cnidaria; Anthozoa; Malacalcyonacea; Plexauridae
Source: the annotation of a GenBank genome assembly
AAUUUUCAACCCAGGGCUGAGUUCAACCCCGGGGUCUGAAAUUUCAACCCUGCUAGCUGAAAUUUCAACCCCGGGGUUGAACUCAGCCCUGGGUUGAAAA